Unclassified non-coding RNA from Papio anubis (olive baboon), 148 nucleotides. It matches the Rfam family "Metazoan signal recognition particle RNA". Rfam says of the family: The signal recognition particle (SRP) is a universally conserved ribonucleoprotein. It is involved in the co-translational targeting of proteins to membranes. The record is from Ensembl. Lineage: Eukaryota; Metazoa; Chordata; Mammalia; Primates; Cercopithecidae.
GCCAGGCAUGGUGGCAUGUGCCUGUAGUCCUAGCUUCUCAAGAGGCUGAGACAGGAGAAUCACUUGAGCUCAGGGGUUCAAGGCUGCAGUGAGCCAUGAUGGCACCACUGCACUCUAGCCUUGGCAACAGAGUAAGACUUUGUCUCUU